UACAGAGGUCCCAAGCGUUGUUCGGAUUCACUGGGCGUAAAGGGUGCGUAGGCGGUCGGGUAAGUCUGAUGUGAAAUCUCCAGGCUUAACUUGGAAAUGGCAUCGGAUACUAUUCGGCUCGAGGAAUGGAGGGGAGACUGGAAUACUUGGUGUAGCAGUGAAAUGCGUAGAUAUCAAGUGGAACACCAGUGGCGAAGGCGAGUCUCUGGACAUUUCCUGACGCUGAGGCACGAAAGCCAGGGGAGCAAACGGG
Molecule: ribosomal RNA, 253 nt
Filed under: uncultured bacterium
Lineage: Bacteria
Description: partial 16S ribosomal RNA
Rfam family: Bacterial small subunit ribosomal RNA
Source: RNAcentral